Molecule: non-coding RNA, 1149 nt
Organism: Microcebus murinus (gray mouse lemur)
Lineage: Eukaryota; Metazoa; Chordata; Mammalia; Primates; Cheirogaleidae
Source: RefSeq, a predicted model, not a curated record
UGUACCUAUAUUAAAAUAUGCAUAUAUGUAAUUUCAAGUGGGUUGGAAAUUAUUCUUAUGUUUUGAAAACAUCGUGUUUUGCACUGGAGCGGGUGGGGCAAUUCCUUGGAAAGGAGUGAGCUUGGGUUGAUCGGCCAGCACCGGCGCCCGGGGUAAUCUCUUGGCAUGUCUCAUAAGCCCGUUGGGAUACCAUUAAAGGCAGAAACACAAUGAUCAGAAAAGAGGGAUAAAAUGCAAUGCCUCCUGUCCCCCUCCCCUCCAAGCACAGUCCUGGGGCUGCCAUCGCUGUUUUGCUUCCUAAGGGACAAGAUUGUGAGUGAGAGAGAAACCUGUGUUGUUUCAGCUAGGCUUGUACACAGCCCACAGCUUUUCUUUCGGUGGUUGCUGCAGCUACGAAGACCGGACAGGUCCAUGGAAGCAGUCGUGUGAUGGCUGGGACAGCUUGGCAAAAGAGUGACAGGUUUUAAUAAAUCUUCCUGUUGGUGCAGACCUAAUGCGGCAUUGCUCAUGAGCGCUGCUAGAGAGCAUUUGUGUUUGCACGAAAGCCUGUGCAUCAAAUGGGGUUGGGGCUACCCUGAAAGUGAGGAGUGUAAUUAAUUCAAGAAAACUCCAAGAGGAAGGAUUUAUUUGGGAAAACAAAAAUGGAAUUACUUGUCAAAAUGUCCCUCCUCACCUACAAAUUCUCUUUCUGCUGCUGCUACACCUACAAAUUCUCUUUCUGCUGCUUCCCUAGGUAUAGGGAAACAAUUUCCCUCACUGUCAAGGAUUGGGCCAGGAGAAGAACACUUUUUGCUUUCCAGAUUGAGUAGAGAGUUGCCAGGAGAAAUGACAAGGAAAGAGCAAGAAUAAAAGAGCCUGCGUGGAUCCACUCACCCCCUCUCCCGGUGCACUCCCUGAAGAGUGGAGUCAGAGCAGCAGGGUUUGGAGGGUGUGAAACAGGGUUGCCAAAUUGCAUAAGUCUCUAAAAAGAUCCAUAUGUCUGGGCUGCACUAAGCCUCUGGGCCCAGGGAGGGGGCCAAUAACAUCAUCUGCUGGAUGGGAGUGCAGUUCUCUUCCUCUGGGGAGGAUUAGAUGUCAGCUUGACUAGAUGCUGCCAGGCUCAUCAUGACCCAGAUUGGGGACUUCGGGGUGCAAGUGUUUGGGGUGGGG